RNAcentral lists this non-coding RNA (26 nucleotides) under Xenopus tropicalis (tropical clawed frog). The record is from RNAcentral. Lineage: Eukaryota; Metazoa; Chordata; Amphibia; Anura; Pipidae. RNAcentral also lists the same sequence under 7 other names.
GUUGGUGGUAUAGUGGUGAGCAUAGC